UGCAUCAUUUUGAUCAUAUAAAUGAGUAAAGAAAUUGUAAAAGUUUUGAUCAGAGAAUCCGGAGGCGGCUGGUUGAGUAGGUGGCUGUGGUGGUGGUGGUGGUGGUGGUUGUUGUCGUGCCCUUCUUCUCUUUGGCUUGCAGUAGCGGUCAACAUAGUCAUCAUUGAUGGUGGGAAUUUCCUCAUUCCCAAUCUGAGGAAGAUGUAGUCUGUUGGCCGAGCAUAAUCCCAUAAUGAGACAUGGGAAACCUAAAGGACUCGUGCUCUUUACCUUGGAUGACCUAAGUGCCUUAUCCGGGUGACCACUUAGAACAAUUUCUUUCAUNNNNNNNNNNNNNNNNNNNNNNNNNUUUCCAAAUCCUCAUUUAUGUAAUGGAUGAGGCCCAGGAUGUUCAUGGUGGCAUCUGAAGGAUGGGAAUUAGGUUGGAUGUUGUACAAGACCAGAUUGAAUAGCAGCACAGUGAAGGUUGAUAAGUUUGAUUAUGAUUUCUGUCGUUUUAAGCAAUUUUGUACUUUUUUAUUAUUUAUUAUCCUUUGUGCAUGCUAACUUGUCUGGUUAGAUUGUUGUCCU
RNAcentral lists this long non-coding RNA (570 nucleotides) under Trifolium pratense (red clover). RNAcentral's name for it is "long non-coding RNA (TPRA_LNC010260)". The record is from RNAcentral. Lineage: Eukaryota; Viridiplantae; Streptophyta; Magnoliopsida; Fabales; Fabaceae.